Molecule: ribosomal RNA, 463 nt
Filed under: uncultured Desulfobulbus sp.
Lineage: Bacteria; Pseudomonadati; Thermodesulfobacteriota; Desulfobulbia; Desulfobulbales; Desulfobulbaceae
Description: bacterial SSU rRNA
Rfam family: Bacterial small subunit ribosomal RNA
Source: RNAcentral
ACAAGCGGUGGAGUAUGUGGUUUAAUUCGAUGCAACGCGAAGAAUCUUACCUGGUCUUGACAUCCCGGAGACCCUUAGGAAACUAGGGGGUGCUUCCAUCUGGAAGAAUCUGGAGACAGGUGCUGCAUGGCUGUCGUCAGCUCGUGUCGUGAGAUGUUGGGUUAAGUCCCGCAACGAGCGCAACCCUUGCCUUUAGUUGCCAGCAGUUCGGCUGGGCACUCUAAAGGGACUGCCGGUGUUAAACCGGAGGAAGGUGGGGAUGACGUCAAGUCCUCAUGGCCUUUAUGACCAGGGCUACACACGUACUACAAUGGCCGAUACAAAGGGCAGCGACACUGCGAGGUGAAGCCAAUCCCGUAAAAUCGGUCUCAGUCCGGAUUGGAGUCUGCAACUCGACUCCAUGAAGUUGGAAUCGCUAGUAAUCGUGGAUCAGCAUGCCACGGUGAAUACGUUCCCGGGCCUU